GUGACUGCGUACCUUUUGUAUAAUGGGUCAGCGACUUAUAUUCUGUAGCAAGGUUAACCGUAUAGGGGAGCCGGAGGGAAACCGAGUCUUAACCGGGCGUUAAGUUGCAGGGUAUAGACCCGAAACCCGGUGAUCUAGCCAUGGGCAGGUUGAAGGUUGGGUAACACUAACUGGAGGACCGAACCGACUAAUGUUGAAAAAUUAGCGGAUGACCUGUGGCUGGGGGUGAAAGGCCAAUCAAACCGGGAGAUAGCUGGUUCUCCCCGAAAGCUAUUUAGGUAGCGCCUCGUGAAUUCAUCUCCGGGGGUAGAGCACUGUUUCGGCUAGGGGGCCAUCCCGGCUUACCAACCCGAUGCAAACUGCGAAUACCGGAGAAUGUUAUCACGGGAGACACACGGCGGGUGCUAACGUCCGUCGUGAAGAGGGAAACAACCCAGACCGCCAGCUAAGGUCCCAAAGUCAUGGUUAAGUGGGAAACGAUGUGGGAAGGCCCAGACAGCCAGGAUGUUGGCUUAGAAGCAGCCAUCAUUUAAAGAAAGCGUAAUAGCUCACUGGUCGAGUCGGCCUGCGCGGAAGAUGUAACGGGGCUAAACCAUGCACCGAAGCUGCGGCAGCGA
RNAcentral lists this ribosomal RNA (617 nucleotides) under Salmonella enterica subsp. enterica serovar Heidelberg. RNAcentral describes it as "partial 23S ribosomal RNA". It matches the Rfam family "Bacterial large subunit ribosomal RNA", at positions 593 to 1211 of the family's 2925-position model. The record is from RNAcentral. Lineage: Bacteria; Pseudomonadati; Pseudomonadota; Gammaproteobacteria; Enterobacterales; Enterobacteriaceae. RNAcentral also lists the same sequence under 59 other names.